RNAcentral lists this ribosomal RNA (491 nucleotides) under uncultured bacterium. RNAcentral describes it as "bacterial SSU rRNA". It matches the Rfam family "Bacterial small subunit ribosomal RNA", at positions 28 to 507 of the family's 1533-position model. The record is from RNAcentral.
GAUGAACGCUAGCGGCAGGCUUAACACAUGCAAGUCGAGGGGCAGCAUAAACAUUGCUUGCAAUGUUUGAUGGCGACCGGCGCACGGGUGCGUAACACGUAUCCAAUCUGCCCGUUACUCGGGGAUAGCCUUCUGAAAGGAAGAUUAAUACCCGAUGGCAUGUAUUUCCGGCAUCGGAGAUACAUUAAAGAUUUAUCGGUAACGGAUGAGGAUGCGUACGAUUAGCUGGUUGGCGGGGUAACGGCCCACCAAGGCGACGAUCGUUAGGGGUUCUGAGAGGAAGGUCCCCCACACUGGUACUGAGACACGGACCAGACUCCUACGGGAGGCAGCAGUGAGGAAUAUUGGUCAAUGGGGCGGAAGCCUGAACCAGCCAAGUAGCGUGAAGGAUUACUGCCCUACGGGUUUUAAACUUCUUUUAUGCGAGAGUAAUGUGCGCUACGUGUAGCGUAUUGCAAGUAUCGCAUGAAUAAGCAUCGGCUAACUCCGUG